This is a long non-coding RNA of Pan troglodytes (chimpanzee), 2124 nucleotides long. RefSeq lists it as uncharacterized. NCBI's taxonomy places the organism in Eukaryota, Metazoa, Chordata, Mammalia, Primates, Hominidae. The transcript has 3 exons. The record is from RefSeq and is a predicted model, not a curated record.
CACUAUCCACAACAGCCAAGAUAAGGAAUCAACCCACGUGCCCAUCAGCAGAUGAACAGAUAAAGAAAAUGUGGUACAUAUAUACAAUGGAAUAUGAUUUAGCCAUGAAAAAGACUGAGAUCCUGUCAUUUGCAGCAACAUGGAUGGAACUGAAGGUCAAUAUGGCGUGAUCUAUGCAGGAGAAACAGCUUGGGAAAUGCUGAAAUUUCUGACUGUAAGAUAUGCUUGGAUAUACGUAUCUGUUUGGAUAAUUUACUCAUGUGAUCUCUUGGAACCAAGGAUCCUUGGAUCCAAGGAACUCUGAUUUCUAGGAAUACUUUGUAAACAAAUCAAUACACAAAUAGGUGAAUAAUCUGAAUUUUCCAGCCCAGUGAUUUUUGAAAGGAGGCAUCCAAACCAAAAGAGCCCCAGAUCAGAUUUUUACCCAACAACAACUAAAAGUGGUCAGUGUUUGUUUAUGACAGUGAACCCCCUCUGACAGCUUUAUCACCUCUAACAAGGGAGAUAGAUAGAGUGGAUGAACAACUUAUUUUCAAAGCUAACAAACAUUCUAUGACUUAACUGCUUGAAAACUAACUUGUUGCAGAAAGGUGAAAUGCUUUAUUCUCACAGAAAACUCCACUUCUGGAGUUGCCCCUCAAUAUGAAGAAACCGGAAGUAAAAGCCUGUCAUUCUUAAAUAACGUUUAUUAUUGUUGCAAAGAAGUCUUCUUCUCCAUGAGAACAGUUCUCACAUUUAUUUAAAGAUAUAGAGGUUAUGGAUAUAGAUAAGUAUGCCCGACUAUGAUCCUUAAUUCAGCAAUCUAAUAUUCACAAUGUGUUUGUUUGUUGCCAUUUAGCUAUUUAUCCAAACAUGCCUUUAAAAAAAAAAAAAAAACAAAAAAACCACAUGUGCCUAGACAGGGUGGAAAAAGAAACACCAAGGGCUUGCUAAAAAGGAGAAGCCUAAAAAAGAUAAAAUUCCCACGGCAGUUCUGUUCAACUGUAGUCUGUGAGUGCAGGAAUAAUGUUCCCGUGGGGAAGCAUUAUGCCCAGUGGUUUCUUGGUGUCAACGUGGGAAAGCCCUUGAGGUUUUCUGUCGCUGUCAGGAGGAAGCACGAAAACUGUUUAUGGAAUCCAGUCGAUGUUCAGGCACCGCGCGAUGAACGCAAACAUGUCUGAGACUUCCUCUAUCACUUUGGCUGUGGGCUUCCCUGCCCCGUGGCCCGCCUUGGUGUCCACGUGGAUAAGCAGGGGGUUGCUUUGCUUCCUGCUGCGGCCCACGAUGUACUGAAGGGUGGCAAUGAACUUCAGGGAGUGAAGCGGGACCACGCGGUCAUCAUGGUCAGCAGUGAGGAGCAGCAUGGACGGGUACUGGAUGUCAUCUGCUUCUGGUAACUUCACGUUAUGCAAUGGAGAGUAUCUGGAAGGCAAAAACACCUUUGUGAGGCUGGAGAGCAACAGUAGAGUUUUAUGGCACAGGGACCUAGGUAGUUAGUUAGCAGUGAAGACUGCAGUUAACUAGUACGUGAGUGACCACCAUGGACUGUGCCUAUGCAUUACCAUUUAGGCCAUAACUGGCAAGGGCUCCUGGAAACUGGGGAGCUGUGUCAUUUAUGUGGCUCCAACUUUGAAAGACUGUAAGAAGGAAGCUCACAGGUCUGUUGAAACAACCCAAAUCACAGGCAUGCUUACUGUCUCUUAAGGUGAGUAGUUUCAUAUUCUCUAGGCUUUUUUUUUACUGCUACAAAGUGGAAUAAUAAUUGUCAUUAUAACCACACUCAGUGGUUCAAAAAAAGUCCAAGCCUUUCUUUUGUUGAGAAACUUGAAAUCCAUAGUAUAAAGGGGUUUGCUGCCCCUUUAAUAACAUCUAUAAAGCCUUUAUUCCAGGAUCAGUUUUGCAAUCUUAGGAAAAGCACAUGUCCUCUCUGGGCCUAGUUUCUUUGUAAACCGAGAAACCUGGAUGGGCUGCUGAGCCUCCUGCUGGCUCUCAGUCCGGCAGAAAGCAACAGACUUUGCCAGAGGAGGAGGGCACCUUCCGAAGUACAAGGCAAGUUUCCUGGGGUCUUGGAAUGCAGUGGUGUGAUCUUGGCUCACUGUCCCCCCAGGCUCAAGCCAUCCUUCCAUUUCAGCCUCACGAGUAGCU